GACAUUCAACAAAGAUUUUUUAAAAAAGUAAUAAUAUAUAAAGCCAUCUAAAGUGCAAGUACCGUAACAGUAUCUUUAAUUUUCUUUGCCGAGUGCUCGACAAAUGACACUCGGUAAUGGAGCCUUCGCCGAUCCUUUUUUACUGAGUGCUAUUUACCGAGUGUGGUACUCGACAAAACCUUUGUGUAAGCACUCGACAAAGAGCUCGUCUCCAGUAGUGCACAAGACCCGAAUUUCUACAUAUAUCUAAUUAAAUGUAUAUGUACUCAGUCGAAUGUUCCAGUGUUGUAUGUUGGGCAGGCAAUCCAUGUGGCCACUCAAACUUUUGGCCGGAAUAUAUUUGUCAGUUGAUAACUAUGGCCUUGUUUAGAUUUAAUUUUUUUUAAUUUUGAUAUUAUAGCACUUUCGUUUUUAUUUAAUAAAUAUUGUUUAAUUAUAGAGUAACUAAGUUUAAAAAUUUUGUCUCAGAAUUUACAGGUAAAGUGUGCAGUUAAUUUUUGUUUUUAUUUAUAUUUAAUGCUCUAUGCAUAUAUGCCGUAAGAUUCGAUGUAACGUGAAAUCUUAAAAAGUUUUUGGUUUUUGGGUGAACUAAACAUGGCCAUAUAUCUAGUAUUUGGCAAGAUCAUUAUUCUUUUAUUACUUUUAUGUUCCCGAGAGAUAUGAGGAUCGAUCACCAUGCUCCAACAGGUUCUAGAGUUGACUCAGGGCACUCAUAAUGCAAGACUCUAUCAC
This 732-nucleotide long non-coding RNA is filed under the name Sorghum bicolor (sorghum). Its description in RNAcentral is "long non-coding RNA (SBIC_LNC000298)". Lineage: Eukaryota; Viridiplantae; Streptophyta; Magnoliopsida; Poales; Poaceae. The record is from RNAcentral.